Molecule: long non-coding RNA, 695 nt
Filed under: Pan troglodytes (chimpanzee)
Lineage: Eukaryota; Metazoa; Chordata; Mammalia; Primates; Hominidae
Description: lncRNA (ENSPTRG00000054657.1)
Source: RNAcentral
GUUUAUUUAUUGAACAUGAGGCAGUGAUUUUUUAAAAUUAAUUUAUAGUUCUUUUAAUAAUUUUUAAAAAAUUCUGGAUCUUAAAAAUUAUAUCUUGAUUAUUCAUUUUAAUUUUGCCCUUCAGGCACUUUUUUUUUUUUUUUUUUGAGGCGGAGUGUCUCUGUCGACCAGGCUGGAGUGCGGUGGCGCAAUCUCCGCUCACUGCAAGCUCCGCCUUCCGGGUUCACGCCAUUUUCUUGCCUCAGCCUCUCCGAGUACCUGGAACUACAGGCGCCCGCCACCACGCCCGGCUAAUUUUUUGUGUUUUUAGUAGAGACGGGCUUUCACCGUGGACUCUAUCUCCUGACCUCGUGAUCCGCCCGCAUAGGCCUCCCAAAGUGCUGGGAUUACAAGCGUGAGCAACCGCGCCCGGCCCCCUUCAGGUUUCUCCUUGCCAUUCUACUUCCCAGCUGGCUGGCUUCAGGACAGGAAUUCUUGGCUCUUUCUGAGAUAUGGUGGAUGAUAGCAGUCCCUUGGGGUUUUUGGAGAACAAGAAAGUGGCAAAUACAUCCAUGUUUGGACUGAUGGCAUGUAGAGGAACCCUGGACACAUUGUGUUUUGAACUAGCUGAGUGGCAGAAACACCAACUGUGCCCUGGGGAUGCCAUGCUUGUGGGUGCUGCAUGGAGGCAGAAACAACUCAGGCUGGUGCAUUGA